GACGAACGCUGGCGGCGUGCUUAACACAUGCAAGUCGAACGGUAAGGCCCUUCGGGGUACACGAGUGGCGAACGGGUGAGUAACACGUGGGUGAUCUGCCCUGCACUUCGGGAUAAGCCUGGGAAACUUGGUCUAAUACCGGAUAGGACCCUGGGAUGCAUGUCCUGGGGUGGAAAGCUUUUGCGGUGUGGGAUGGGCCCGCGGCCUAUCAGCUUGUGGGUGGGGUGAUGGCCUACCAAGGCGACGACGGGUAGCCGGCCGGAGAGGGUGACCGGCCACACUGGGACUGAGAUACGGCCCAGACUCCUACGGGAGGCAGCAGUGGGGAAUAUUGCGCAAUGGGCGCAAGCCUGAUGCAGCGACGCCGCGUGAGGGAUGACGACCUUCGGGUUGUAAACCUCUUUCAGCACCGACGAAGCGCAAGUGACGGUAGGUGCAGAAGAAGGACCGGCCAACUACGUGCCAGCAGCCGCCGUAA
Molecule: ribosomal RNA, 478 nt
Filed under: uncultured bacterium
Lineage: Bacteria
Description: partial 16S ribosomal RNA
Rfam family: Bacterial small subunit ribosomal RNA
Source: RNAcentral